GGAAUCCAGAGCAUGACAGAAGCCAUUGUUCCGGCUAUCCCCAAAGAAGUUUUCCCAGCAGUUCCCUAGAGCUCAUGAGCUAGGAGUCUUUAUCGGUGGCCCCUGACAAUCCUCCAGGCUGAGAGGAACACACCAUCAAGGGAACCUUAGAAUGAACGACAUAGUUUUCACUCUAGAGUUUAGCUUUACUCACUGCCAACCAGUGAUUCUGCUGUCUUCACAAGGUCCCAAGAUAAAGAACGCCAUUCAGGAAUCGUGCAGGCAUAGCUGGACUGGAUGGACUUAUGUCAAAUGACUACAGUCAAGAUCCUGGUGCUUAGAGUGGGCAAAACCUGGAUCUCACUCCAUUGUUAAGACUGGAGGAAAAAUAUGGCUUCCCUGGUAGCUGAUGGGUCCGGAAUUGGUGGGUUCUUGGUCUCACUGACUUCAAGAAUGAAGCCACGGACCCUCGCGGUGAGUGUUACAGCUCUUAAGGUGGCGCGUCUGGAGUUUGUUCCUUCUGACGUUCGGAUGUGUUGGGAGUUUCUUCCUUCUGGUGGGUUGGUGGUCUCACUGGCUCAGGAGUGAAGCUGCAGACCUUCGCGGGGAGUGUUACAGUUCUUAAGGCGGCGCAUCUGGAGUUGUUCGUUUCUCCCGGUGGGCUAGUGGUCUCACUGGCUUCAGGAGUGAAGCUGCAGACCUUCGUGGUGUUACAUCUCUUAAGGCAGCGCAUCUGGAGUUGUUCGUUCCUCCUGGUGGGCUUGUGGUCUCGCUGGCUUCAGGAGUGAAGCUGCAGACCUUCGCGGUGAGUGUUACAGCUCAUAAAAGCAGUGUGGACCCAAAGAGUGAGCAGUAGCAAGGUUUAUUGCAAAGAGCGAAAGAUCAAAGCUUCCAUAGUGUGGAAGGGGACCUGAGCGGGUUGCCACUGCUGGCUCGCGCAGCCUGCUUUUAUUCUCUUACCUGGCUCCACCCACAUCCUGCUGAUUGGUAGAGCCCAGUGGUCUGUUUUGACAGGGCGCUGAUUGGUGCGUUUACAAUCCCUGAGCUAGACACAAAGAUUCUCCAAGGCCCCACCAGAGCAGCUAGAUACAGAGUGUCCAUUGGUGCAUUCGCAAACCCUGAGC
This 1103-nucleotide long non-coding RNA is filed under the name Homo sapiens (human). RNAcentral describes it as "HSALNT0178282". The record is from RNAcentral. Lineage: Eukaryota; Metazoa; Chordata; Mammalia; Primates; Hominidae.